CUUAAAUUGAAGAGUUUGAUCAUGGCUCAGAUUGAACGCUGGCGGCAGGCCUAACACAUGCAAGUCGAGCGGAAACGAGUUAUCUGAACCUUCGGGGAACGAUAACGGCGUCGAGCGGCGGACGGGUGAGU
Molecule: ribosomal RNA, 131 nt
Filed under: Vibrio parahaemolyticus
Lineage: Bacteria; Pseudomonadati; Pseudomonadota; Gammaproteobacteria; Vibrionales; Vibrionaceae
Description: partial 16S ribosomal RNA
Rfam family: Bacterial small subunit ribosomal RNA
Source: RNAcentral